Molecule: transfer RNA, 72 nt
Filed under: Hamiltosporidium magnivora
Lineage: Eukaryota; Fungi; Microsporidia; Dubosqiidae
Also listed under: 1 other name
Description: Neoflabelliforma magnivora tRNA
Rfam family: tRNA
About the family: Transfer RNA (tRNA) molecules are approximately 80 nucleotides in length. Their secondary structure includes four short double-helical elements and three loops (D, anti-codon, and T loops).
Source: Rfam by way of RNAcentral
GGUUCCAUGGUGUAGUGGUUAUCACUCAGGACUUUGACUCCUGCGACCCGAGUUCGAAUCUCGGUGGAACCU